This 506-nucleotide ribosomal RNA is filed under the name uncultured bacterium. Its description in RNAcentral is "partial 16S ribosomal RNA". It matches the Rfam family "Bacterial small subunit ribosomal RNA", at positions 30 to 523 of the family's 1533-position model. The record is from RNAcentral.
AUUGAACGCUGGCGGCAGGCCUAACACAUGCAAGUCGAACGGUAGCACAGAGGAGCUUGCUCCUUGGGUGACGAGUGGCGGACGGGUGAGUAAUGUCUGGGAAACUGCCCGAUGGAGGGGGAUAACUACUGGAAACGGUAGCUAAUACCGCAUAAUGUCGCAAGACCAAAGAGGGGGACCUUCGGGCCUCUUGCCAUCGGAUGUGCCCAGAUGGGAUUAGCUAGUAGGUGGGGUAACGGCUCACCUAGGCGACGAUCCCUAGCUGGUCUGAGAGGAUGACCAGCCACACUGGAACUGAGACACGGUCCAGACUCCUACGGGAGGCAGCAGUGGGGAAUAUUGCACAAUGGGCGCAAGCCUGAUGCAGCCAUGUCGCGUGUAUGAAGAAGGCCUUCGGGUUGUAAAGUACUUUCAGCGAGGAGGAAGGUGUUGAGGUUAAUAACCUCAGCAAUUGACGUUACUCGCAGAAGAAGCACCGGCUAACUCCGUGCCAGCCGCCGCUGUAA